CCCCUUCCAUAUCCCACUUACACUACUUGCAAAUGUAUUCCAUGCUGGUCUUAUUACAGGUUCCUGAGUUUGAAGAACAGUCUCAACCUCCAUUAGCAUAGCACCAGAGACCAUGAUUCUGCCAUCUCUGUUCCGCUUCCGUCUAACCACUCUCCUCCCUCUCCUCCUCGGCUUGGUUCUCCCCUUUUCUUUCUCCGCCGCGGAUUUCGCCAUAUCAUUGUCAAUGCUCCACACAUUUUCCUUUUUCCCCUUUACUUUCACUCCCUCUCUGGGACUUGCAUUUUGGCGGUGGCGGGGUUUGUUCUGGCAUUGGGUUGCGAGACUUUUAGAGUUUAGUUUUUGAAAAUUAAAGGCAAGUGAAAGAUUUCGGGUGGAAAGGGAUUUGAGGGUGUAGUGAAACCCCAGUCGAUGAUUGACGGCGAAAGAGGUCUUGCAGAGGUGGAGACAUGGCGACUGCAUCAUCUUUCAAGCCUUAAACCAAAAUUAAC
This 488-nucleotide unclassified non-coding RNA is filed under the name Hevea brasiliensis (rubber tree). The record is from RNAcentral. Lineage: Eukaryota; Viridiplantae; Streptophyta; Magnoliopsida; Malpighiales; Euphorbiaceae.